UCUACCUCUGCAUCUGGGAUAACCCACCGAAAGGUGAGCUAAUACCGGAUACGUUUACCGUUAUAUAAAUCAUGGUAAAGAAAGAUGGCCUCUGAUUCAAGCUAUUGUGCAGUGAGGAGCUUGCGUACCAUUAGCUAGUUGGUGGGGUAAUGGCCUACCAAGGCAACGAUGGUUAGCGGGUCUGAGAGGAUGAUCCGCCACACUGGAACUGGAACACGGACCAG
RNAcentral lists this ribosomal RNA (224 nucleotides) under uncultured bacterium. Its description in RNAcentral is "partial 16S ribosomal RNA". It matches the Rfam family "Bacterial small subunit ribosomal RNA", at positions 125 to 334 of the family's 1533-position model. The record is from RNAcentral.